GAGAGGGCUCUGUCGUUGAUACCAGGAGAGGACUCUGUCGUUGAUACCAGGAGAGAGCUCUGUCGUUGAUACCAGGAGAGGGCUCUGUCGUUGAUACCAGGAGAGGGCUCUGUCGUUGAUACCAGGAGAGGGCUCUGUCGUUGAUACCAGGAGAGGGCUCUGUCAUUGAUACCAGGAGAGGGCUCUGUCGUUGAUAGUUAUUCUGCAUACAGUCUUCAACUUCCACCUCCAGCUGCCAACAUUUAUGUAUCUGGCAAUUACUAGAUGACAUGACAGAGAGAGAGAGACAGAUAGAAGAGAAAGAUAGACAGACAGGAGUAAUAGAGAGGCAGACAGGAGAGAGAGGCAGACAGGAGAGAGAGGCAGACAAGAGAGAGAAGCAGACAGGAGAGAGAAGCAGACAGGAGAGAGAAGCAGACAGGAGAGAGAGAUAGAGACAGAUUGAGACAGACAGGAGAGAGAGAUAGAGACAGAUUGAGAGAGACCGAUUGAGACAGACAGGAGAGAGAGACAGAGAGAGAGACAUAGCGACAGACAGGAGAGAGAGAGAUAUAUAGCGACAGACAGGAGAGAGAGAGAGAGAUAUAUAGCGACAGACAGGAGAGAGAGAGAGAUAUAUAUAUAGCAACAGACAGGAGAGAGAGAGACAGAGACAGACAGGAGAGAGAGAGAGAGAUAUAGCAACAGACAGGAGAGAGAGAGAGAUAUAUAGCGACAGACAGGAGAGAGAGAUAUAUAUAUAUAUAUAGCGACAGACAGGAGAGAGAGAGAGAUAUAUAGCGACAGACAGGAGAGAGAGAGAUAUAUAGCGACAGACAGGAGAGAGAGAGAGAGAGAGAUAUAUAGCGACAGACAGGAGAGAGAGAGAUAUAUAGCGACAGACAGGAGAGAGAGAGAUAUAUAGCGACAGACAGGAGAGAGAGAGAUAUAUAGCGACAGACAGGAGAGAGAGAGAUAUAUAGCGACAGACAGGAGAGAGAGAGAGAUAUAUAGCGACAGACAGGAGAGAGAGAGAGAUAUAGCGACAGACAGGAGAGAGAGAGAUAUAUAGCGACAGACAGGAGAGAGAGAUAUAUAGCGACAGACAGGAGAGAGAGAGAGAGAGAGACAGAGACAGACAGGAGAGAGAGAGAGAUAUAUAGCGACAGACAGGAGAGAGAGAGAGAUAUAUAGCGACAGACAGGAGAGAGAGAGACAGACAGACAGGAGAGAGAGAGAGAUAUAUAGCGACAGACAGGAGAGAGAGAGAGACAGAGACAGACAGGAGAGAGCGACAGAGACAGACAGGAGAGAGAGAGAGACAGACAGGAGAGAGAGAGAUACAGUGUUCCUCUGGUAUCCAACAGACAGUCUGACCUCCUGGUCUUCAGAUGUCUGACACUUUAUUCUCUACAUCUCUAAGUCCAUAAAGUACUUCAUGUGAUGACACAAAUGCUCUGUUUGGUAAGAUCUAAGUAAGAUGUCAUUCUAUAAUCGUGCUGUGUGUGUGAAGGGGACUGUGCCUCAGUGUGAAGGACUGUGCCUAAGUUUCUCAGAAGCUAAUCCCUAAACUGUAUUCAAAAUAGAGCCUUUCAGCUGCCAGCCACUGUGAACUGAUUCCUGCCCUCUGCUCUGACACGUGGGUGGCCAAGCGUCCUCUUGGAGAGCCUUUCAGCUGGCAGCCACGGGGAACUGAUUCCUGCCCUCUGCUCUGAGACAUGAGUGGCCAAAUGUCCUCUUGGAGAGCCUUUCAGCUGCCAGCCACUGUGAACUGAAUUCUACCCUCUGCUCUGACACGUGCGUGGCCAAGCGUCCUCUUGGAGAGCCUACAUAGACAUUUUAAAAACC
This 1827-nucleotide long non-coding RNA is filed under the name Salmo salar (Atlantic salmon). Its description in RNAcentral is "lncRNA (ENSSSAG00000101355.1)". Lineage: Eukaryota; Metazoa; Chordata; Actinopteri; Salmoniformes; Salmonidae. The record is from RNAcentral.